UUGGUCAUUUCGUAUCAGCUCAGACUUCACAUUUCAAGAGUUUGAUGCCACCGUCUCCGGUGGGGUCUCUGGCGGGGGCCGAGGCCGCCCGCCAAAGCAACAUGGAGGGUACACAUGGGGUGGGAGGUUGGGCCGCUGGGACCCUCGCUCGGUAAUGAUCCUUCCGCAGGUUCACCUACGGAAA
This 184-nucleotide unclassified non-coding RNA is filed under the name uncultured fungus. RNAcentral describes it as "sequence contains ITS1". The record is from RNAcentral. Lineage: Eukaryota; Fungi.